This 1153-nucleotide long non-coding RNA is filed under the name Physcomitrium patens. Its description in RNAcentral is "long non-coding RNA (PPAT_LNC005289)". Lineage: Eukaryota; Viridiplantae; Streptophyta; Bryopsida; Funariales; Funariaceae. The record is from RNAcentral.
UUUGUGAAAUCAAGUGGGAAAUAAUUUUUUGAGAAUUUCAUAAGUUUAGCAAUAGAACUAUGGGUGAAAUUUUGAAGAUUUGUAGAUAUAAAUGUGUUCAAUAUAUGCUAUGAGUUUUAGCUUGAUCAAAGAGUUGAAUCAAGGAUUAUUGAGGUUUAAGUGGGUCAGGUUCUUAGGAAGUUAAGUUUUAGGUCUAGUGAGGGUUUCUAAGUUUUCUUGCAAUAUAUCAACUAGAUUGGAGUAAAAAUUAUGUGUGUGGAUAAUAGAUUUAUUUUUCUACAUAUGUAAGAAAUUUUAGUUUAAUUAAAUGAUUUGAUAAGGAGAUAUUGAUGCUAAAAAUUCAACAUUUAGAUUGAAGAAAGAGGCUGGCCAACAUCCAAGUACAUAUUAUGGUUGCUCUUCUUCAAAAAAAAUUGUGCUUUUAGUCAACUUAAUUGUAAAGAAGUUUAUAAAAAUUUAAUUCAAAUCAAUGGUUCAUUCAUUAAUUAUUGAGGUUUAAAUCUAUUGUAGGAAUUACUUAGAUUAUUUAGAAUUUGGUUAGAAUAUGUUUAGGAUUUGAUUAGAAUUCGGUUAAGGUUUGUUUAGAUUUGUUUAGGAUUUAGUUAGGAUUUGAUUAGGAUUUGACUAGGAUUUGAUCAAAAUUUAUUUAGGAUUUAUUUAAGAUUUGAUUAGGAUUUGAUUAAGAUUUAUUUAGGAUUUGACUAAGAUUUGGUUAAGAUUUAUUAAAGGUUUGAUUAAGAUUUGGUUAAGAUUUUUUAGGAUUUGACUAGGAUUUAUUUAUGAUUUAUUAGGAUUUGGUUAGGAUUUGACUAGGAUUUGGUUAGAAUUUGAUUAGGAUUUGGUUAAGAUUUGAUUAGAGUUUGAGUAGGAUUUAUUUAAAAUUUGAUUAGAAUUUGAUAAGGAUUUAAUUAAGAUUUCUAUUUUAAUGUUUUAUUAAGAUUUCUAUUUUAGUAUAUUUUUGAAUUCCUAUGUUAUUUCUUUGUAUUUUCUUUAAAAGGUCUUUAGAAAUACUUUGUAUUUCUUAUAUAAUUCCUUUACAAUUUUGAUUGAAUUUGAUUGAUGUUUGAAUUAUACUUGCUAAUCUUUAAUUUUAAUUUGUUGAAAAAUCUAUUAGAGUUGUUAGGACUUGUUGCAAUUUUCUUUUUAUCUUCCA